RNAcentral lists this long non-coding RNA (405 nucleotides) under Nicotiana benthamiana. RNAcentral describes it as "long non-coding RNA (NBEN_LNC006936)". The record is from RNAcentral. Lineage: Eukaryota; Viridiplantae; Streptophyta; Magnoliopsida; Solanales; Solanaceae.
AAAUACUCUCAAGCAAAAACUCACUACUACCCUUAUUCAUUCCACAUAAACCACUAUAUAUCUCCAUUCCUUCAUCCUCUUCAACUCCACAACCAUCCAAACCACUUGACACAAAUAUGGUCAUUGUUUCGACUGAAUAUGCUGUGCAACCAUCUAAACCUCUUCCCACGUCCUAUCUUCAUACCCUACUCUCACAUAAUAUACCAACUCCAAUUUCAUCCUUAGAUGAUCUUGUUGCUUCUCCACAUGUUAUUAACACAGAAGUGUGAUGCACCCGCUGACCCUAAUAUCUUCAUUCCACUUUUCCGGGAUAAGAAGGAAAGAAUUUAUAAACAAUGGCAACAUGCUGUUAUUGUAAAGAUAUAUGGUCAGAAAAUUGGACAUCAAUUAAUGAGGCAAAAAAUC